This is a non-coding RNA of Rattus norvegicus (Norway rat), 74 nucleotides long. The record is from Rfam. Lineage: Eukaryota; Metazoa; Chordata; Mammalia; Rodentia; Muridae.
GGAGAGGUGGCUCAGUGGUUAAGAGCACUGGCUGCUUUUCCAGAGGUCCAGGGUUUGAUUCCCAGACCUACCCA